This 511-nucleotide ribosomal RNA is filed under the name uncultured bacterium. RNAcentral describes it as "bacterial SSU rRNA". It matches the Rfam family "Bacterial small subunit ribosomal RNA", at positions 19 to 518 of the family's 1533-position model. The record is from RNAcentral.
AUGGCUCAGGAUGAACGCUAGCUACAGGCUUAACACAUGCAAGUCGAGGGGCAGCAUGACGGUAGCUUGCUACUGUUGAUGGCGACCGGCGCACGGGUGAGUAACGCGUAUCCAACCUUCCCACAAAUAAGGAAUAGCCCGGUGAAAAUCGAAUUAAUACCUUAUGUGGUCAUAAGAAGACAUCUGAUUAUGAUUAAAGAUUUAUCGUUUGUGGAUGGGGAUGCGUCUGAUUAGGUAGACGGUGGGGUAACGGCCCACCGUGCCGACGAUCAGUAGGGGUUCUGAGAGGAAGGUCCCCCCACAUUGGAACUGAGACACGGUCCAAACUCCUACGGGAGGCAGCAGUGAGGAAUAUUGGUCAAUGGGCGAGAGCCUGAACCAGCCAAGUAGCGUGCAGGAUGACGGCCCUAUGGGUUGUAAACUGCUUUUAUGCGGGAAUAAAACGAGGGACGUGUCCUUCUUUGCAGGUACCGCAUGAAUAAGGACCGGCUAAUUCCGUGCCAGCCGCCGC